AGUGGAGUGGCAGCCCCAGAACUGGGACCACCGGGGGUGGUGAGGCGGCCUGGCACUGGGAGCUGCAUCUGAGGCUUAGUCCCUGAGUUCUCUGCCUGCCCAGACUAGCUGCACCUCCUCAUUCCCUGCGCCCCCUUCCUCUCCGGAAGCCCCCAGGAUGGUGGUUUCACCGAGACCUCAGUGGGCUGGAUGCAGAGACCCUGCUCAAGGGCCGAGGUGUCCACGGUAGCUUCCUGGCUCGGCCCAGUCGCAAGAACCAGGGUGACUUCUCGCUCUCCGUCAGGACCUCAGCCGAUCCCUGCCCUCCUGCCUCUACUCCUGCACCGACUGGCCUCACCGCCUGGUGCCCUGCAGGGUGGGGGAUCAGGUGACCCAUAUUCGGAUCCAGAACUCAGGGGAUUUCUAUGACCUGUAUGGAGGGGAGAAGUUCGCGACUCUGACAGAGCUGGUGGAGUACUACACUCAGCAGCAGGGCGUCCUGCAGGACCGCGACGGCACCAUCAUCCACCUCAAGUACCCGCUGAACUGCUCCGAUCCCACUAGUGAGAGGUGGUACCAUGGCCACAUGUCUGGCGGGCAGGCAGAGACGCUG
This 592-nucleotide small RNA is filed under the name Pan troglodytes (chimpanzee). Its description in RNAcentral is "processed transcript". The record is from RNAcentral. Lineage: Eukaryota; Metazoa; Chordata; Mammalia; Primates; Hominidae.